UUCCGGUUGAUCCUGCCGGACCUUACUGCUAUCGGGAUGAGACUAAGCCAUGCAUGUCGAGCGCUCUUCAGCUAUGUAGAGAGCGCGGCGAACGGCUCAAUAACACGUAGUUAACCUACCCUCGGGAUGGGAAUAACCCCGGGAAACUGGGAUUAAUGCCCACUAGAUGAUUAUACCUGGAAUGGCUUAUCAUCGAAAGAGUCUGGAAACAUGCUUCCAGCGUCGCCCGAGGAUGGGACCGCGUCCGAUCAGGUAGUUGGUGGGGUAAUGGCCUACCAAGCCUAUAACCGGUACGGGCCCUGAGAGGGGGAGCCCGGAGAUGGAAACUGAGAAAAGGUUCCAGGCCCUACGGGGUGCAGCAGGCGCGAAACCUCCACAAUGCGCGAAAGCGUGAUGGGGUUAUCCCGAGUGCCGUCCGAUGAGGAUGGCUUUUUAUCGAUGUAAGGAUUCGAUAGAAUAAAGGGGGGGCAAGACUGGUGUCAGCCGCCGCGGUAAUACCAGCCCCCUGAGUGGUAAGGGCGAUUAUUUGGCCUAAAGCGUUCGUAGCCGGCUUAUCAAGUCUUUUGUUAAAUCCAACGAUUCAAUCGUUGGGCCGCAAAAGAUACUGUUAUGCUAGAGGACGGGAGAGGUCGACGGUAGUCCAGGGGUAGGGGUGAAAUCCUAUAAUCCCGGGAGGACCACCAGUGGCGAAGGCUGUCGGCUAGAACGCGCCCGACGGUGAGGGAUGAAAGCUGGGGGAGCGAACCGGAUUAGAUACCCGGGUAGUCCCAGCUGUAAACGAUGCAGGCUAGGUGUUGGCGCGGCUACGUGCCGCUCCAGUGCCGCAAGGAAGCCGUUAAGCCUGCCGCCUGGGAAGUACGGCCGCAAGGCUGAAACUUAAGGGAUUGGCGGGGGAGCACCACAAGGGUGAAGCUUGCGGGUUUAUUGGACUCAACGCCGGA
This 941-nucleotide ribosomal RNA is filed under the name uncultured archaeon. Its description in RNAcentral is "bacterial SSU rRNA". It matches the Rfam family "Archaeal small subunit ribosomal RNA", at positions 1 to 922 of the family's 1478-position model. The record is from RNAcentral.